This 356-nucleotide ribosomal RNA is filed under the name uncultured Rubellimicrobium sp. Its description in RNAcentral is "bacterial SSU rRNA". It matches the Rfam family "Bacterial small subunit ribosomal RNA", at positions 28 to 412 of the family's 1533-position model. Lineage: Bacteria; Pseudomonadati; Pseudomonadota; Alphaproteobacteria; Rhodobacterales; Roseobacteraceae. The record is from RNAcentral.
AACGAACGCUGGCGGCAGGCUUAACACAUGCAAGUCGAGCGCCCCCGCGAGGGGGAGCGGCGGACGGGUUAGUAACGCGUGGGAACGUGCCCUUUGCUCUGGAAUAGCCCUGGGAAACUGGGGGUAAUACCGGAUGUGCCCUGAGGGGGAAAGGUUUACCGGCAAGGGAUCGGCCCGCGUCUGAUUAGGUAGUUGGUGGGGUAACGGCUCACCAAGCCGACGAUCGGUAGCUGGUUUGAGAGGAUGAUCAGCAACACUGGGACUGAGACACGGCCCAGACUCCUACGGGAGGCAGCAGUGGGGAAUCUUGGACAAUGGGGGCAACCCUGAUCCAGCCAUGCCGCGUGGGUGAUGAA